ACUAACAAGGAUUCCCCUAGUAACUGCGAGUGAAGCGGGAAAAGCUCAAAUUUAAAAUCUGGCGGUCUUUGGCCRUCCGAGUUGUAAUCUGGAGAAGUGCUUUCCGCUCUGGACCGUGUACAAGUCUCUUGGAAUAGAGCGUCAUAGAGGGUGAGAAUCCCGUCUUUGACACGGACUACCAGUGCUUUGUGAUGUGCUUUCAAAGAGUCGAGUUGUUUGGGAAUGCAGCUCAAAAUGGGUGGUAAAUUCCAUCUAAAGCUAAAUAUUGGCGAGAGACCGAUAGCGAACAAGUACCGUGAGGGAAAGAUGAAAAGCACUUUGGAAAGAGAGUUAAACAGUACGUGAAAUUGCUGAAAGGGAAACACUUGAAGUCAGUCGCGUUGUUCAGAACUCAGCCUKGCCUUGGCUUGGUGCAUUUUCUGAAUGACGGGCCAGCAUCAAUUUUGACUGUCGGAUAAAGGCCAGAGAAAUGUGGCUCCUUUGGGAGUGUUAUAGUCUUUGGUUGCAUACGAUGGUUGGGAUUGAGGAACUCAGCAUGCCUUUAUGGUCGGGGUUCGCCCACGUUCAUGCUUAGGAUGCUGGCGUAAUGGCUUUAAAUGACCCGUCUUGAAACACGGACCAAGGAGUCUAACAUGCCUGCGAGUGUUUGGGUGGAAAAYCCGAGCGCGCAAUGAAAGUGAAAGUUGGGAUCUCUGUCGUGGAGAGCACCGACGCCCGGACCAGACCUUCUGUGACGGAUCCGCGGUAGAGCAUGUAUGUUGGGACCCGAAAGAUGGUGAACUAUGCCUGAAUAGGGUGAAGCCAGAGGAAACUCUGGUGGAGGCUCGUAGCGAUUCUGACGUGCAAAUCGAUCGUCAAAUUUGGGUAUAGGGGCGAAAGACUAAUCGAACCAU
This 893-nucleotide ribosomal RNA is filed under the name Physisporinus sp. 2 RS-2021. Its description in RNAcentral is "partial 28S ribosomal RNA". The record is from RNAcentral. Lineage: Eukaryota; Fungi; Basidiomycota; Agaricomycetes; Polyporales; Meripilaceae.